This 284-nucleotide ribosomal RNA is filed under the name Anaerostipes hadrus ATCC 29173 = JCM 17467. RNAcentral's name for it is "Anaerostipes hadrus DSM 3319 partial 16S ribosomal RNA". It matches the Rfam family "Bacterial small subunit ribosomal RNA", at positions 500 to 776 of the family's 1533-position model. The record is from RNAcentral. Lineage: Bacteria; Bacillati; Bacillota; Clostridia; Lachnospirales; Lachnospiraceae.
UCUUUUCCUUUUUUUCCCUCCUCCUCUUUACUACGUAGGGGGCAAGCGUUAUCCGGAAUUACUGGGUGUAAAGGGUGCGUAGGUGGUAUGGCAAGUCAGAAGUGAAAACCCAGGGCUUAACUCUGGGGCUGCUUUUGAAACUGUCAGACUGGAGUGCAGGAGAGGUAAGCGGAAUUCCUAGUGUAGCGGUGAAAUGCGUAGAUAUUAGGAGGAACAUCAGUGGCGAAGGCGGCUUACUGGACUGAAACUGACACUGAGGCACGAAAGCGUGGGGAGCAAACAGG